RNAcentral lists this ribosomal RNA (508 nucleotides) under uncultured bacterium. Its description in RNAcentral is "bacterial SSU rRNA". It matches the Rfam family "Bacterial small subunit ribosomal RNA", at positions 9 to 499 of the family's 1533-position model. The record is from RNAcentral.
GAGUUUGAUCCUGGCUCAGGAUGAACGCUGGCGGCGUGCCUAAUACAUGCAAGUCGAGCGAACAGAUAAGGAGCUUGCUCCUUUGAAGUUAGCGGCGGACGGGUGAGUAACACGUGGGUAACCUACCUAUAAGACUGGGAUAACUUCGGGAAACCGGAGCUAAUACCGGAUAAUAUUUAGAACCGCAUGGUUCUAAAGUGAAAGAUGGUUUUGCUAUCACUUAUAGAUGGACCCGCGCCGUAUUAGCUAGUUGGUAAGGUAACGGCUUACCAAGGCGACGAUACGUAGCCGACCUGAGAGGGUGAUCGGCCACACUGGAACUGAGACACGGUCCAGACUCCUACGGGAGGCAGCAGUAGGGAAUCUUCCGCAAUGGGCGAAAGCCUGACGGAGCAACGCCGCGUGAGUGAUGAAGGGUUUCGGCUCGUAAAACUCUGUUAUUAGGGAAGAACAAAUGUGUAAGUAACUGUGCACAUCUUGACGGUACCUAAUCAGAAAGCCACGGCUA